UUUUCCAUAACCUUUCAAUUUGUCGGGCAUACCACGAUCUGAUCUCAAUUUUUGGUCAAAAUGGGUUUUUAUCAAAUUUUGAAAAUAUCCAUCAACAGAAUCAUUUUGAGAAAAUUUGGAAGAAAAUAAUUAGCUAAAUAUACUAAAUUUGCUAAUGAGUGCAAUGGUGCAUUGCAAAAGAAAUUAAUAAGUUAUUUCAUAAAACGACAUAUCAAUUCCUUGGAGUAAAUUUCGACACUUAAGAAACUACAAGAAAGGAUAUAUCCGCCUGUAGGGUUCUGUGUGGGCCCUGAUCUCACGCAAGGUCUGUGAGGUGUUUGUUCAUCCGUGAAGACGGGAAUUGAACUAUGGAUAUUCACGUUCUAAUAAGGUUUUAAAUGAUCUUUCUGGUUGGAGAAAAAGUUCAAGCUAAAAUGGAUGGGCGUUAAUAUCGGACAAUCAGCUUGAUUUUAACAUCAUAUUCAGACAAACUUGUGUUCUUUAUCUUAGAGCUCAAACGAAACAAAUAGGUAGAGGGCUUCUGAAGUUAUGAAUUUGCGAUGAGGCGAGGUGUGACAGAAAUCGGCCUGAAAAUUGUUUACGCCGCUGUAAGAAUGCAGAUAUAGAUUUUUUCUCUUUGAAACUUGACAAGGUUUUAAGUCAUUCAAAAUUGAUACUUGUAUACUAUAAGAAGAAGGACUAAUGAACAUCCAACUUGCCGAAAGAACAAAAUUGAAAACACUGAGUGUUCCAAAGUUAUGCUCUCAAAAAGAAAAAAAGUGCUGUUUUGGGAGGCCUUUUAUGGAUCUCUGCUUCCCACCGGAUGCUCGUCGCUAAGGUUGCGCUACGAAAUUCAUAUUUCACUGCGAUAGGUCGCUUCGUGAAAAAAAUAAUUUUGCAUGUCUUGGUUUCACGAAGUGUCACAACUGCGUGUGUCCCUCCCACUCUGUACAAUUUGUAUGGAAUGGCGCACCACAAAGUGACAUUAUGAGAAGUUGACCUCAUCUAUUACAAGGUCAUGUCUAGUAUGUUGACUCAACUGGAAAAUGCUCAUGUAAAACAAUGGAGUGAAAACAUUCAGCUUUUAGUCAGGUAAUCAAACUGCGUUCGCGGUUUACGUACGUACGAUGCACAUUAUACACUGCCAUUGACCAUGAGAUGAGCACGUAGCUGGGCAUUCUAUGGCAUCAUUCUGUGAGUAUUUCAACCAAUUUAGCGAAGCAAACGGCAAGGUUUUUCUAAACUGUAUUUACGUAAUGUACUUUUAACACAAGAAUUAUAAUCUAGCUUAGAAUAUGAGUAAAUCACUCCUGAUUCAGGCCUGAUCUGCACACAGGGUAGGGCCCUAGGCCUAGUAGUACUUGUAGGCCAAAGCUAGCAAUGAUGCCAAGUUUUUUGCAGGUGUAGCACAAUAUAAUUAAUUUCAAAUCAACGGUAUCCUUCAUUUCACAAUAGAGCAACUGUCCAGCUGAGUUCAUAUGUAGCCCCAAUGCAUCGGUUACUGUCCUUUUUGAGGAUUAGAUUACCCGAUUCCCCAAAUAUUGCCAGUCCAUUUAAGAUCAGUCAUUUAGCCUAGCUUUUUAUUGUCAAAUGUGGCCAGCAGGAAACAGUCAUUGACACACAGUGACAUGAUGUAUGUUAAGCGGGGCUGAAUAAAAAUAGAUUCUUACUGAAUCCUACAUAGGUGCAAACAUUUCAUUGUCAUUGCAAUUAUGGAUGACUCUAGGGCUCUAACAUCGCACAGUUAUGACCUAAUAAAUUAAAAGUAUUUUUAAAGUAUGAGCCAAGAUAGUUUUGUUGCUCUUACAACUGGCCAAAACGAUGGUAUCAUAUUCAUAAUGACCAGUGAGUUAAGGGUGCAUGGAUUUGGGUCUUGUACUACCUAAGAUGAUGGUCAGUUACCAUUGACAAUAAGUAUUGUCCAUAUCAGUGACAAAUUUUUAGUUUGGUUUAUUACACUGAACGUACCGGUAGUAGAAGGUAUUUAGUCAUUAAUGAUACUUGCUGAUGAGAUUUUUGUUUUUGUUUCGUUCUUACAGAUCAUGGAUGUGCUUGUGCAGUGGUGGUAGCAAAAAUGUUGUCAGUUCAACUGAUCUGAAAUACAGACCUCCACUUCACGUUAAUCAGACUGUGAAGAUGAAAUAGAGGAAGGUGGUAGAGUGUAAAAGUUAAUGACUUUGAAGAGACAACAGGUAACAUUGCUUAUCGGGGGGGGGGAAUUGUAUAGUUGCAUAGCAUUUUCAUGCAGUGGGGGAAGGGUGCAUCAGUUUUGUGAAGAGGAUAUGUUGGAAAGCUGAGCUUCUUGAUUUGCCAGUUUAUUAGUUGAAAUGCUAUUCCAAUAAAUAAAACAAUUUUUUUGAGCUGCCAAGUUCAUUAAAAAGCUUCUUCCAUGCCUUUUUAAGAGAACAGUGAAGAUAUAGUCAGCAACACUAGUACUGGAGAUCAACGAAGCAGCGAUGACAGAGAUCAGGGGAAGAAGAGGGCGACAGCUCUGAUAAGGAACCUCUAAGUAGACUGGUCUCAGGUGAAAAAACCUCAACAACAGCAUUCUUAAAAUCAAAGGUUCCGUCAGAUGCCAUUGGGCCAGCUCAACAAGGAGAAAGGGCUUAAACCUGCUCCAAUUUUAACUGCCAUGAAGAGACAUUUGCUGCAUGCGCGAGUUGCUCAUGUCUCUUGUGUUUUGCGCAUUUUAUAAGUUCAUCCUCCUGUGAUACACACAAUGAAUAUUUCUUUCUUUAUUCUGGAUCUAAUAAGGAAUUGAACAUACAGUACGCUGAAAAACAAACACAACCUGAGGCAAAUGUGUUUUCUGAUGACGUCCACGGUGAAAUGAAUACACCUGUGGAUUUUUCUGAUGGUGUACGAAAUGACCCACAAACCUCGCCAGGAUUUGGUUGUCAGGUCCCAGAAAGUUUUGAAGAAGAGGGGGGUCCAAAAAUUGAUGUGAGUGAGGUAACCGAAACUGCACAUAGUCAGGCAAAAAAUAAAACUGUGAAGCAAAAGAGAAAUGAUGGAGAGUGCUACUAUACAGAGAAAACACACAGGUUUAAGGAAGGAAGAAAGACAAAACUUAGGUCAAGGUGUAAUUCAUUGUUCUGCAACGUCAGAAAACUUGAGUGCGAUAAAUUUUCUGAAGAAGACCGUCAAUCCAUUGGGGGUGCUUUUUUUCUAGCAGUAAUUUGCAAGCACAGAAACAAUGAAUAGCACGCCAUAUUGAAACAACAUCCCCAACAAGUAGUACACGCAAGAAGAGGGUCUCACAUUUUUACCUCCCUAAAGGUAAAGAUAACUCACUUUGCCGUGUUUGCAAGAUCAUGUUUCUCAGUGCAAUUGGAAUUUCAGACCGUCAAGUUAGAACUGUUGUAAGUAAACUUGGUCCAUGUAACAUUCUCACAGCCGAGAGAAGAGGAGGAAACAGUCAAAAGGCAAAGAUCAACUUCUCAAAAAGGAAGUUGAACAUCACAUUAACAGAUUUCCUAAAAUGGAGUGUCAUUAUUGCCGCCAAGCCACAACAUUUCAGUAUCUGUCAAGCGACUUGAACAUAAACAGAAUGUAUGACCUGUGCCUGGCUGAGAACCCUAAGCAAAAGCUUCUCUGAGUUUCAAUGCUAAAACACUGCAUGGCAUGAAGCUUAAAUUUCAUAAAACCAAAAAAGAUCCACGUGGGAUAUGUGAAACCUACCACAAGGGUAAUGAUACCGAAAAAGGUAAGCUCCAUAAAGAAUACAUCAGGCACACUCAAGAAAAAAUUGCUGUGAGAGAAAUAAAGAGUCAGAAAAAAAGAACAGGCUCUCUUGGAUCCACGAAAGUUCCAAGCAUCUCUUUACGAUCUGCAACAAGUGAUCUACCUUCCUUGGUCUGGAAGAGGAUCACUGUUUUAUAAACAGAGGCUUGCCUGCUAUAAUUUCACAGUUUAUGAAUUGGACAGUAGAUCAGGAUUUUGCUUCCUUCAUCAUGAAGGAAUAGCAAAAUGUGGUGCGAAUAAAAUAGCAUCUAAUUUGUACAAAUACCUCUCAACACUUGACAGUAAAGGAACAGAAGAAGUUGCCCUUUUCAGCGAUGGGUGUAUAGGACAGAAUAAAAUUUCAUCUUGCCAGCCAUGCUUCUGUACAUGUACUUGGUGCAGAAUAAUUUGUCACUGAUCAAAAUAACACUACUAUUGCGAGACCAAUCAUGGUCAAAGUGAGGAAGAUUCAAUCUAUAGUACUGUCGAGCGAACCCUGAAGGGGGCUGCAGACCUGUUCCCUGUCAGCUUGCAACAUUGAUUCAAGGUGCUAGAAAGACCCCUGACAAAUAUCACAUCACAGAAGUACAAACGCAGGACAUUCGAGAUUGGAAGGCACUCAGUCAAACCAUGCAUAUUUUGCACAUGUACACCACUUUAGUGGGUAAGAAUGUAGAUUGGACGAAAGUGAUGCAGGUUGAAGUGAGGAAAAUCUACCCCAAAAGAUCAUGGUCAAAUUUUCCCUCUUGGAGGACAAGUUCGACACAGUUAAUUUGGAAGAGAGAAAUUGGCACACACUUCCAAAACACUUGCAAUACCCACCCAGGCUGUGCCAAAGGAAGCUCGCCAAAAAUACCUGAGGCAAAAUACAGUGACCUGAUGAGUCUUUGUGAGGGCUCAACACGGGUAAUUUUCCAUUCAGAUCAUAUUGCCUUCCACCGACACCUUCCACAUUAAACCACAGCGUGUUUCCUGCAACCAAAUUCUGCCAACAGAUCUCUGUUAAGUGGAAAUGCGGUAGUCUUGCUUGUAUUAAGUAUCAGACAUUUCUGUAAUUGCAUUAAUUAAAAGUUAGUGUGUAGACCGCUGUUCAUGAAGCUGUGUAUAUCUUUGAUUUUUGAACUUUUAUUUUCAAGAUUCAGUUCAAGAAUCACAGGGGCGAUGGUUGAAUGUCUUCGAAUAAAGUCAUAUAUACCGGAAGUUCUUAGGAAUUUCAAAACUUACUUAUUAGUGUUGUUUUAAAUCACUGAUGAAGGGUUUACGAUUACUAGUGGUGCAAGUAUUUUGUCACUUGAGUUUAGAUCAAUACUUCACAUAACAACUCAAAGAUGUAACCUACAUAGGCCGAAAUUACAUAACUUUCAUUUAACGUAUCAAAUUUUCAAUGCUAAUUUCAAGAUGUUGAAUGUCAUUGAUUUAUUAUUAAUGACGCUUCAAUAAAUAUUGGGACAAAACUGGCGAACAGAUUAAAGGUUUCAUUUUUAUGAAUUCAAAUAAAUCUAACGUCUCUGCUUAAACGAACAUAAACAUUAUGUUCUCAAUUUAAUUGUAAACUGCAUGAACUAUAUUUUCAUAAAAUUUACUCAGGGAAAUACAUUGAACGAAUUGAAAUCGUACACACAUUUAGGUCAUCUUACGAGAUAAUUGUUUUAUUAAUAAAUCAAAAUUUCUGUUUUUGUAUUGCCAAAUGAAGAUUUAAAUGAAUAGAAAACAAUUUUUAUGGGGCCAGGUGAAAAUGUUCUUUUGAAUUUGUGCAUUUGACCACUGUUAUAUGAAAAACGUUGAAUUUUUACAUAAUAAUCGUGUGUAUUGAAAAUGAACUUGGAAAAUUUUUAAGGCGGGUGUUGAUGAUGGAAGGCGAUGAACUUGAUUGCGUUUUUAAUGAUAUUGAUAAUUCUUGUUUUUGAUUAAAAACAAAUUUUCCUGGAAAUGAA
Long non-coding RNA from Acanthaster planci (crown-of-thorns starfish), 5636 nucleotides. RefSeq lists it as uncharacterized. The record is from RefSeq and is a predicted model, not a curated record. NCBI's taxonomy places the organism in Eukaryota, Metazoa, Echinodermata, Asteroidea, Valvatida, Acanthasteridae.